GGGGGAAUUUUGGACAAUGGGGGCAACCCUGAUCCAGCAAUGCCGCGUGUGUGAAGAAGGCCUUCGGGUUGUAAAGCACUUUUGUCCGGAAAGAAAUCGCGCUGGUUAAUACCUGGCGUGGAUGACGGUACCGGAAGAAUAAGUACCGGCUAACUACGUGCCAGCAGCCGCGGUAAUACGUAGGGUGCGAGCGUUAAUCGGAAUUACUGGGCGUAAAGCGUGCGCAGGCGGUUUUGUAAGACAGGCGUGAAAUCCCCGGGCUUAACCUGGGAAUUGCGCUUGUGACUGCAAGGCUAGAGUGCGUCAGAGGGGGGUAGAAUUCCACGUGUAGCAGUGAAAUGCGUAGAGAUGUGGAGGAAUACCGAUGGCGAAGGCGGCCCCCUGGGACGUGACUGACGCUCAUGCACGAAAGCGUGGGGAGCAAACAGGAUUAGAUACCCUGGUAGUCCACGCCCUAAACGAUGUCAACUAGUUGUUGGGGAUUCAUUUUCUCAGUAACGUAGCUAACGCGUGAAGUUGACCGCCUGGGGAGUACGGUCGCAAGAUU
RNAcentral lists this ribosomal RNA (547 nucleotides) under uncultured bacterium. RNAcentral describes it as "bacterial SSU rRNA". It matches the Rfam family "Bacterial small subunit ribosomal RNA", at positions 355 to 895 of the family's 1533-position model. The record is from RNAcentral.